Molecule: ribosomal RNA, 460 nt
Filed under: uncultured bacterium
Lineage: Bacteria
Description: partial 16S ribosomal RNA
Rfam family: Bacterial small subunit ribosomal RNA
Source: RNAcentral
CCUACGGGCGGCAGCAGUGAGGAAUAUUGGUCAAUGGACGAGAGUCUGAACCAGCCAAGUAGCGUGAAGGAUGACUGCCCUAUGGGUUGUAAACUUCUUUUAUAUGGGAAUAAAAUGUUCCACGUGUGGGAUUUUGUAUGUACCAUGUGAAUAAGGAUCGGCUAACUCCGUGCCAGCAGCCGCGGUAAUACGGAGGAUCCGAGCGUUAUCCGGAUUUAUUGGGUUUAAAGGGAGCGUAGGUGGAUUGUUAAGUCAGUUGUGAAAGUUUGCGGCUCAACCGUAAAAUUGCAGUUGAAACUGGCAGUCUUGAGUACAGUAGAGGUGGGCGGAAUUCGUGGUGUAGCGGUGAAAUGCUUAGAUAUCACGAAGAACUCCGAUUGCGAAGGCAGUUCACUGGACUGCAACUGACACUGAGGCUCGAAAGUGUGGGUAUCAAACAGGAUUAGAUACCCCUGUAGUC